UCUCCGUUGGCGAACCAGCGGAGGGAUCAUUACCGAGUUUACAACUCCCAAACCCCUGUGAACAUACCAUUUGUUGCCUCGGCGGUGCCUGCUUCGGCAGCCCGCCAGAGGACCCAAACCCUUGAUUUUAUACAGUAUCUUCUGAGUAAAUGAUUAAAUAAAUCAAAACUUUCAACAACGGAUCUCUUGGUUCUG
This 195-nucleotide unclassified non-coding RNA is filed under the name plant metagenome. Its description in RNAcentral is "partial contains small subunit ribosomal RNA, internal transcribed spacer 1, and 5.8S ribosomal RNA". The record is from RNAcentral.